RNAcentral lists this non-coding RNA (25 nucleotides) under Rattus norvegicus (Norway rat). The record is from RNAcentral. Lineage: Eukaryota; Metazoa; Chordata; Mammalia; Rodentia; Muridae.
UGAAGAAGUGCUUGGCUAAGAGAAU